Molecule: long non-coding RNA, 228 nt
Filed under: Mytilus galloprovincialis (Mediterranean mussel)
Lineage: Eukaryota; Metazoa; Mollusca; Bivalvia; Mytilida; Mytilidae
Source: RNAcentral
AAAACUCCCAAAAUCAAACCCAACCUUCCUUUUAUGGUCAUAAACCUUGUGUUUAAAUUUCAUAGAUUUCUAUUUACUUAUACUAAAGUUAUGGUGCAAAAACCAAGAAUAAUGCUUGUUUGGGCCCCUUUUUGGUCCCUUAUUCCUAAACUGUUGGGACCUCAACUCCCAAAAUCAAUCAUAACCUUCCUUUUGUGGUCAUAAACCUUGUGUCAAAAUUUCAUAGAU